GUGGGAGGGGGCUUGCCCCCGAUAGCAGUGUGCCAGUCAGCUCACUUGUAGCUGACACACCGCAAUCGGGAGCAAGCCCCCUCCCAC
This 87-nucleotide unclassified non-coding RNA is filed under the name Pseudomonas synxantha. Lineage: Bacteria; Pseudomonadati; Pseudomonadota; Gammaproteobacteria; Pseudomonadales; Pseudomonadaceae. The record is from RNAcentral.